UCCAACAGAAAUGGUCCACCAAUGCUCCCAAUAUUCAGUGGAUAUAUAUAGGGUACCACAGCCUUGGCUGAAUAUUGGGAGCAUUGGUGGACCAUUUCUGUUGG
Pelobates cultripes (western spadefoot toad) is the source of this 104-nucleotide non-coding RNA. NCBI's taxonomy places the organism in Eukaryota, Metazoa, Chordata, Amphibia, Anura, Pelobatidae. The record is from the annotation of a GenBank genome assembly.